UGUUUUAUAUAUAUUAACUCAUCCACUCCUCACCCACAAGAGACAGAAAGCAUCACUAUGCUGCUCUUGAUGUCACAGACACACAGGCAGUAAAGUAUUGUGUCCAUGGUCACUAAGCCAAAACAUGGCAAAGCCAGGCUUCCAACCCAGGCCUUGCUGAGAGACUGAGGACCAGCCACAGACAAAAAGAAGAAGCAGGACACACCAGUGCUGCCUGGUCAUGGGACACAGGUACCAGUGUCCACAUCAGGAGAUGUGAAGAACUACACUCACCUGAGCCUGAGCGUGGAGGGAAGGCCAUACACAUCACCAGUGUGCUGGCAAGGAGCUCCCUAACAGACCCCAUCUUCUUCACUCUCAUUCAGCCAUCAGAAAGGAGGUACCAUGGCUGUCAGCUCUCCUCUGUUCUGAUGACCAAGAGCCUAACAGUCAGCAGUUUCCAGGCAAGUCACAGGAAAAGAAAUCUUGAGAAAUAUGGAAAUAAUUCCAGUCAUAGUUGCCAACCUCAGAGAGAUGUUUUCCAUGACUGAACAAAUGCAGAUCUGACUUGAAUUCUACUACCCAUAAGGAGAGAUUAUGUGCUUUGAUUUAUAAAUUAGAUACAAGCUCUCAGUUACUGCUCCAGC
Mesocricetus auratus (golden hamster) is the source of this 626-nucleotide long non-coding RNA. RefSeq lists it as uncharacterized. The record is from RefSeq and is a predicted model, not a curated record. Lineage: Eukaryota; Metazoa; Chordata; Mammalia; Rodentia; Cricetidae. The transcript has 4 exons.